GGGCCCUUAGCUUAAUGGUAGAGCACCCGGUUUGCAUCCGGGAGAUAGGAGUUCGAUUCUCCUAGGGUCCACCA
This 74-nucleotide transfer RNA is filed under the name bacterium. RNAcentral describes it as "tRNA-Ala". It matches the Rfam family "tRNA". From Rfam's summary of the family: Transfer RNA (tRNA) molecules are approximately 80 nucleotides in length. Their secondary structure includes four short double-helical elements and three loops (D, anti-codon, and T loops). Further hydrogen bonds mediate the characteristic L-shaped molecular structure. tRNAs have two regions of fundamental functional importance: the anti-codon, which is responsible for specific mRNA codon recognition, and the 3' end, to which the tRNAs corresponding amino acid is attached (by aminoacyl-tRNA synthetases). tRNAs cope with the degeneracy of the genetic code in two manners: having more than one tRNA (with a specific anti-codon) for a particular amino acid; and 'wobble' base-pairing, i.e. permitting non-standard base-pairing at the 3rd anti-codon position. The record is from RNAcentral.